This 253-nucleotide ribosomal RNA is filed under the name uncultured bacterium. RNAcentral's name for it is "partial 16S ribosomal RNA". It matches the Rfam family "Bacterial small subunit ribosomal RNA", at positions 524 to 776 of the family's 1533-position model. The record is from RNAcentral.
UACAGAGGUCCCGAGCGUUGUUCGGAUUCACUGGGCGUAAAGGGUGCGUAGGUGGCGAGGCAAGUCGGAUGUGAAAUCUCGGAGCUCAACUCCGAAACGGCAUUGGAAACUGCUUUGCUAGAGGAUUGGAGGGGGGACUGGAAUGCUUGGUGUAGCAGUGAAAUGCGUAGAUAUCAAGCGGAACACCAGUGGCGAAGGCGAGUCCCUGGACAAUACCUGACACUGAGGCACGAAAGCUAGGGGAGCAAACAGG